CCCUUAGAUGUUCUGGGCUGCACGCGCGCUACACUGAUGCGCUCAACGAGUUUUAACCUUGCCUGGAAAGGUUGGGUAAUCUUUUUAAAACGCAUCGUGAUGGGGAUAGAUUAUUGCAAUUAUUAAUCUUCAACGAGGAAUGCCUAGUAAGCGCAAGUCAUCAGCUUGCGUUGAUUACGUCCCUGCCCUUUGUACACACCGCCCGUCGCUCCUACCGAUUGAAUGGUCCGGUGAAGCGUUCGGACCGUGGCCUUUGGACGGUUCGCCGUCUGUUGGCUGCGGGAAGUUCGUUAAACCUUAUCAUUUAGAGGAAGGAGAAGUCGUAACA
RNAcentral lists this ribosomal RNA (328 nucleotides) under uncultured eukaryote. RNAcentral's name for it is "partial 18S ribosomal RNA". It matches the Rfam family "Eukaryotic small subunit ribosomal RNA", at positions 1470 to 1796 of the family's 1831-position model. The record is from RNAcentral.